CAGCCAGUUCCAACAAUGACCUGGUUCUGCAGAUGGUACAGUGUUGAAUUUUACAAUGGACCUGUGUGUAGCAAGAAAGAUCUUUUGGGGAAAAAACUGAGGUUUGGGGCAGUUCGUAUUUUGCAGUUUCUGAACUGGUUUGCCCAUGACUGAGUGGCUUUCUUCAGAUGUGUUCUAGAUCAGGCACGUCAGAGCACACGCUGUUGAUAACUUCAUUUGAUCACUGUUAAAUUAAAGAAAAACACAUUUGAAAUGCUGAGAGAAGAUGAAAGUUUUUAAGAAUCAAAGAACCUGGAUUCUGUGCGAGUCACCUUGUUACAUCUCUCCAAAUGUUUCCAUGUCAGCAGAAAAAAUAAGAGCAAGGCUUUCUGACCUUGAAAAGAACUGCCAGAGGGGAAGAGCUUUCAUGCAAUUUUUAAUACUCUCCCUGAAGACUUUGUUUGUUUUUUGUUUUUGAAUUGCCAUAGCAUGAUGCAGGUUUGAGCUAAUGAAUGUCACAUUCAUGUGGGGCAGCUCCAAAAAUAAAAGACCUUGAUUGACUGAA
Molecule: long non-coding RNA, 544 nt
Organism: Mauremys reevesii (Reeves's turtle)
Lineage: Eukaryota; Metazoa; Chordata; Testudines; Geoemydidae
Exons: 2
Source: RefSeq, a predicted model, not a curated record